CUUCAUGGAGAGUUUGAUCCUGGCUCAGGACGAACGCUGGCGGCGUGCCUAAUACAUGCAAGUCGA
RNAcentral lists this ribosomal RNA (66 nucleotides) under Bacillus paralicheniformis. Its description in RNAcentral is "partial 16S ribosomal RNA". It matches the Rfam family "Bacterial small subunit ribosomal RNA", at positions 1 to 65 of the family's 1533-position model. The record is from RNAcentral. Lineage: Bacteria; Bacillati; Bacillota; Bacilli; Caryophanales; Bacillaceae.